AGCUAAUAGAUACCCCGGUAGUCCACGCCCUAAACGAUGUCUACUAGUUGUUGGUGGAGUAAAAUCCAUGAGUAAACGCAGCUAAACGCGUGAAGUAGACCGCCUGGGGAGUACGGUCGCAAGAUUAAAAACUCAAAGGAAUUGACGGGGGCCCGCACAAGCGGUGGAUUAUGUGGAUUAAAUUCGAUGCAACGCGAAAAACCUUACCUGGCCUUGACAUGCCACUAACGAAGCAGAGAUGCAUUAGGUGCCCGUAAGGGAAAGUGGACACAGGUGCUGCAUGGCUGUCGUCAGCUCGUGUCGUGAGAUGUUGGGUUAAGUCCCGCAACGAGCGCAACCCUUGCCAUUAAUUGCCAUCAUUUAGUUGGGUCACUUUAAUGGGACUGCCGGUGACAAACCGGAGGAAGGUGGGGAUGACGUCAAGUCCUCAU
RNAcentral lists this ribosomal RNA (431 nucleotides) under uncultured bacterium. Its description in RNAcentral is "bacterial SSU rRNA". It matches the Rfam family "Bacterial small subunit ribosomal RNA", at positions 774 to 1196 of the family's 1533-position model. The record is from RNAcentral.